AUUAAUUGAAGAAUUUUUUUUCUGUGAUUCCUUCUUAUUUAUGAUUUACACCAUAUCCUUUUUAUAUUCCCACACAGCUGCUGUUUUGGAUUAUGCAGUAAUUGUUCAAUUAUUCAUUUUCUU
Molecule: long non-coding RNA, 123 nt
Organism: Populus euphratica (Euphrates poplar)
Lineage: Eukaryota; Viridiplantae; Streptophyta; Magnoliopsida; Malpighiales; Salicaceae
Exons: 3
Source: RefSeq, a predicted model, not a curated record